GGAUGCGAUCAUACCAGCACUAAAGCACCGGAUCCCAUCAGAACUCCGAAGUUAAGCGUGCUUGGCGAGAGUAGUACUAGGAUGGGUGACCUCCUGGGAAGUCCUCGUGUUGCAUUCCC
RNAcentral lists this ribosomal RNA (119 nucleotides) under Secale cereale (rye). Lineage: Eukaryota; Viridiplantae; Streptophyta; Magnoliopsida; Poales; Poaceae. The record is from RNAcentral. RNAcentral also lists the same sequence under 5 other names.